This 530-nucleotide ribosomal RNA is filed under the name uncultured bacterium. RNAcentral describes it as "bacterial SSU rRNA". It matches the Rfam family "Bacterial small subunit ribosomal RNA", at positions 777 to 1304 of the family's 1533-position model. The record is from RNAcentral.
AAUAGAUACCCCGGUAGUCCACGCCGUAAACGAUGAAUGCUAGGUGUUAGGGGUUUCGAUACCCUUGGUGCCGAAGUUAACACAUUAAGCAUUCCGCCUGGGGAGUACGGUCGCAAGACUGAAACUCAAAGGAAUUGACGGGGACCCGCACAAGCAGUGGAGUAUGUGGUUUAAUUCGAAGCAACGCGAAGAACCUUACCAGGUCUUGACAUCCCUUUGACCGGUUCAGAGAUGAGCCUUUCCUUCGGGACAGAGGAGACAGGUGGUGCAUGGUUGUCGUCAGCUCGUGUCGUGAGAUGUUGGGUUAAGUCCCGCAACGAGCGCAACCCUUGAUCUUAGUUGCCAGCACAUGAAGGUGGGCCCUCUAAGAUGACUGCCGGUGACAAACCGGAGGAAGGUGGGGAUGACGUCAAAUCAUCAUGCCCCUUAUGACCUGGGCUACACACGUACUACAAUGGCCGGUACAACGGGCAGCGAAGGGGCGACCUGGAGCGAAUCCUACCAAAGCCGGUCUCAGUUCGGAUUGCAGG